This 4340-nucleotide long non-coding RNA is filed under the name Equus caballus (horse). RNAcentral's name for it is "lncRNA (ENSECAG00000045960.1)". Lineage: Eukaryota; Metazoa; Chordata; Mammalia; Perissodactyla; Equidae. The record is from RNAcentral.
CUCCAGGAAUGUACAGAAUCUAAAGCCAUGAAUCCCUCUACCGGUGACAGAAACCACAGAAAAAAACAACACGAUAUGGGCACACCUUGGAGAUGUGGCAGAUUCCAGAACACCACAAUAAAGCAAAUGUCACAAUAAACAAUGUUCACAGCAUCUUCACCAGGAGCAGUUUCCAUUUCAAGAAACCACUUUCUUAGUUCAUCCAGAAGAAGCAACUCCUCAUCUGUUAAAGUUUUAUCAUGAGAUUGUGGCAAUUCAGUCCCAUCUUCAGGCUCUACUUCUAAUUCUAGUGCUCUUGCUAUAUCUGCCACAUCUGCUGUUGCUUCCUCCACUGAGGUCUUGAACCCCUCAAAGUCAUCCAUGAAGGUUGGAAUCAACUUCUUCCAAACUCCUGUUAGGGUUGAUAUUUGUGACCUCUUCCCACGAAUCAUGAGUGUUCUUAACGGCAUCUAGAAUGAAAACCUUUCCAGAAGGUUUUCAAUUUACUUUGCCCAGAUGCCUCUGAGGAAUCACUAUCUAUGGCAGCUAUAGCCUUAUGAAAUAUAUUUCUUAAAUAAUAAGACUUGAAAGUUGAAAUUUCUCCUUAAUCCAUGGGCUGUAGAAUGGAUGUUGUGUUAGCAGGCAUGAAAACAAUAUCAGUCUUGUGUACAUCUCCAUCAGAGCCCUUGGGUGAGCAGGUACACUGUCAACGAACAGUAAUGUUCUGAAAGGAAUCUUUUUUCUGAGCUGUAGUCUCAAAGGUGGGCUUAAAAUAUUCAGUAAACCAUGUUGUAAACAGAUGUGCUGUCGUCCUGGCUUUGUUGUGCCAUUUAUAGAGCACAGGCAGAGUAAAUUUAGCAUAAUUCUUAAGGGCCCUAGGAGUUUUGAAUUGGUAAAUGAGCAUUGGCUUCAACUUCAAGUCACCAGCUGCAUUAGUCCCUAACAAGAGAGUUGGCCUGUCCUUUGAAGCUUUGAGGCCAGGCAUUGACUUCUCCUCUCUAGCUAUAAAAGUCCUAGACGGCAUCUUUUUCCAAUACACGGCUGUUUCGUCUACAUUGAAAAUCUGUUGUUUAGUGUAGUCACCUUCAUUAACUAUCUUAGCUGGAUCAUCUGGAUAACUCGCUGCAGCUUCUACAUCAGCACUUGCUGCUUCAGCUUGUAUGUUUAUGUCAUGGAGAUGGUUUCUUUCCUGAAACCUCGUGAACCAACUUCUAGCUUCCAACUUUUCUUCUGCAGCUUCCUCACCACUCUUGGUCUUCAUAGAAUUGAAGAGUUAGGCCCUUCUCUGGAUGAGGCUGUGGCUUAAGAGAAUUUUGUGGCUGGUUUGAUCUAUCCAGACAGCUAAAACUUUCUCCACAUCAGCGAUAAGCCUAUUUCACUUUCUUCUCAUUUGUGUGUUCACUGGAGUAGCACUUUUAAUUUCCUUCAAGAACUUUUCUUUGCAUUCACAACUUGGCUAACUUUUUAGUAUAAGAGGCCUAUCUUUCAGCCUAUCUCAGCUUUUGACAUGCCUUCUUCACUAAGCUUAAUUAUUUCUAGGUUUUUUUUUUUUAAGAUUUUAUUUUUUUUUCCUUUUUCUCCCCAAAGCCCCCUGGUACAUAGUUGUGUAUUUUUUAGUUGUGGGUCCUUCUAGUUGUGGCAUGUGGGAUGCCACCUCAGCAUGGCUUGAUGAGUGGUGCCAUGUCUGCGCCCAGGAUUUGAACUGGUGAAACCCUGGGCUGCCAAAGCAGAGCACACAAACUUCACCACUGGGCCACGGGGCCAGCCCCUAUUUCUAGCUUUUGAUUUAAAGUGAGAGAUGUGCAACUCUCCUUUUCACUUGAACACUUAGAGGCCAUUGUAGGGUUAUUAAAUGGCCUAAUUUUAAUAUUAUUGUGUCUCAGGGAAUAGGAAGGCCCAAGGAGAGGAAGAGAGAUGGGGGAAUGGCCUGUUGGUGGAGCAGUCAGAAUACACACAACAAUUAUCGAUUAAGUUCACCGUCUUAUAUGGCUGUGGUUUGUGGUGCCCCAAAACAAUUACAAUAGUCACAUCAAAGAUCACUGAUCACAGAUCCCAUAGCAAAAUUAAUAAUAAGGAAAAAGUUCGAAUAUUGUGAGAAUUAAUGAAAUGUGACACAGAGAUAUGAAGUGAGCAAAUGCUGUUGGAAAAAUGAGGCCAAUAGAUUUGCUCAAUGCAGGGUUGCCACAAACCUGCAAUUUGUAAAAAAAUGCAAUAUUUGCGAAGCACAAUAAAGCCAAACACAAGAAAAUCCCUGUAAUGUAUGGCAUGACCCUGUUCCUGUCACUAACUAGAUUUUACACUCAGCCUCUAAGUUCUAUUGCUGCUUGUUUCCUCAAGGACUUCUCUCCUGCUGCUGUCCCCAGUCUGUCUUGCAUCAUCACUUUUUCCAUGUCUACUGAAUCUUUGCCAACCAAUGUACAAUUAUGCUGUGCCAUUUACAAGCCCCAAAAAAUAUAUUAAUAAGGAAAAACAACUCUCUAGGCUAAAUGAACCUCUUAAGUUACAAUCUCAUGUCUCCAUUAAACAGUAUAGCAAAAAUCCUUGGGAGAAUUUUUUACUCAUUGUUUCCAAUCCCUAUUUCCCAUUCUCUCCUCAACUCUUUCCAUUGCUACCACUCCAUUGGAAACAUUCUUGUCGUGAUCAACACACUCCAGUGUUGCUGAAUCCAAUGGUUUAUUCUCAGUCUGGAAGAGAAUCAAUCUCAACACAGAAUUUUUAUGCAGCUGACCACUCCCUGCACUUACUCUCUCUCAUACACACACACACUAUAUGUAUACACACAUCAUAGGAUAUAUAUGUAUAUGUGUAUAUAUAUACAUAUGUAUGUAUAUAGUGAUAUGUGUGUAUGAGAGAGAGUGAGUCUCUGCUUAUACCACAUUUACCACAUGCAUGUUGACUAAAACAAGUUAUGAGGCCAGAUUCCAGGGGUUGAAAGGCAAAAUCACACUGCAAAUUCAUAGAUACAGGAAAAGGAAGCAUUUGUGGAGAGGUGAUAAGACCUCAUAAGAGGGAAAUAACUAUGUGAUGUGCCUAGACAAAUGGGGCCUUAGGCCGCCUUUCAGAUAUUUCCAGGGCUUCAACAAGGCACAGAAGUAUCAGAAGAUUCCUUUAUACCCAUGAAUGGCACAAAGUUAAUAGAAAGAGCCGAUUAAUAGAGAGGGGCUUUGUGGAUGGGCACAAAGGAUAAUUUGAAAAUGGCUAGCUGAACUAACAGCAUGAUGAGACCUCAUGACUUGGUAUUCAGCAUCAAUGUAGAGAGAAAAAGCUGUGAAGGGCAGAUAAAUUGAAAUAGAUAGAAUGUUCCUAUACCAUGGCAGAGGAGGGGUUUGAAAUAGAAAUUUAGUUGCAAUACAGAAAAUUAAAGAGUGGUCUGUUUUGUCCAUCUCUCAAUUUGUGGUCUAAGAUUCUUUCUCUAGUUGAAUUUUCUACUGUUAUUUAUCUAAUUUGUUCCCUACAGCCAUGGUCAGCCUAGAGUGUUUGGCCAGGGGAAAGGCUGUUUUUAUAGGACAAGGACCAAAACACUGCAUUUUUUCCUUACCUUUUUCCUUAUUUAGGGGGUUCCUUUACCGAAAUCCCACUGCCCUUUGCAAUACUCAGUUUUAGAGCUCUUGACAUGGCCAGCAACUAAGCCAGUGACUUGAGUCCCUGAUGAAUUACACCUCUGUGAGAACAUGAUGGGGCCAGUAGGCUGGGCCUGGGUUACAGCCUGCUCAGCGAACUGUUUGGAAUUGUAUGAUACCUAUUUUAUCUUUUAAUAAUUUUAUUUAUUUUUGUUUAUUCCCUUGCUCUCUUUUCUUUCUCCUCCAGCGUAUUCUAAAUUUUAGCAUGUUUCUCCUUCUUUCCUUCUCUUUUUUGGUUUCUAUUGCUCUCAUUUUUCUAUGACAGAGGUACCUUUGGCGACAAAAGCUAGAGAGCUCAAACUGAAUACUAUGUCAUAUUACACAGCAAAGACGUGUGAAUAUUAAUAGCAUUCCUUCAAUUGGAGUAUGAAAAUAUAUUUAACAGACCUUUAAGUUGCUUCUAAGUUUUUAUCAUUAUAGGUUGAAUAGUGCCAUAAUGAAUAUCUAUCUAUCUAUCUAUCUGUCUGUCUAUCUUAGUGUAUAUCUCUGAUUAUUUACUGGGUAAGAAAAUAUAGUUAAAAAUCUCAUUUAAUAAAUAUUGCUAAAUUGCUCAUCAAUAGUGAGAAUGUCUUUCUAAUGGGGGUAGGGGUACUCUUUGAUACUGAAAUAUCUUUUAAGAUUUGAGAGAAUAAUAUUGCAAAGUCAAGGCAGGCUGUGAAGAUGCUCGUCUUAAGAGCCCCUAUGGGGUGUGGCCCAGGCACUGACAGGAUAGACCAGAAAUGAAACUCAGGGGCUAACCUU